This 388-nucleotide unclassified non-coding RNA is filed under the name uncultured Oligoflexales bacterium. RNAcentral describes it as "contains 16S-23S intergenic spacer region". The record is from RNAcentral. Lineage: Bacteria; Pseudomonadati; Bdellovibrionota; Oligoflexia; Oligoflexales.
UCCUGCUUAACGCAGGCAGUCUCUCUAGAGUGCCCAACUUAAUGCUGGCAACUAAAGAUAGGGGUUGCGCUCGUUGCGGGACUUAACCCAAUAUUUCACAACACGAGCUGACGACAGCCAUGCAGCACCUGUCUCAGAGAGGCCGUGUUGCCACGGCCUAAGGCUACAUCUCUGCAGCUUUUCUCUGGAUGUCAAGCCCAGGUAAGGUUUUGCGCGUUGCUUCGAAUUAAACCACAUAAUCCACCGCUUGUGCGGGUCCCCGUCAAUUCCUUUGAGUUUUAGUCUUGCGACCGUACUCCCCAGGCGGAUAACUUAUCGCGUUAGCUACGACACGGACGUUGUCAACCAACACCCACGUCUAGUUAUCAUCGUUUAUGGCAUGGACUAC